RNAcentral lists this ribosomal RNA (254 nucleotides) under uncultured bacterium. RNAcentral describes it as "partial 16S ribosomal RNA". It matches the Rfam family "Bacterial small subunit ribosomal RNA", at positions 524 to 777 of the family's 1533-position model. The record is from RNAcentral.
UACGAAGGGGGCGAGCGUUGUUCGGAAUUACUGGGCGUAAAGGGCUCGUAGGUGGCCAACUAAGUCGGACGUGAAAUCCCUCGGCUUAACUGGGGAACUGCAUCCGAUACUGGAUGGCUUGAGUUCGGGAGAGGGAUGCGGAAUUCCAGGUGUAGCGGUGAAAUGCGUAGAUAUCUGGAGGAACACCGGUGGCGAAGGCGGCAUCCUGGACCGACACUGACGCUGAGGAGCGAAAGCCAGGGGAGCCAAACGGG